This 467-nucleotide ribosomal RNA is filed under the name uncultured bacterium. RNAcentral describes it as "partial 16S ribosomal RNA". It matches the Rfam family "Bacterial small subunit ribosomal RNA", at positions 29 to 507 of the family's 1533-position model. The record is from RNAcentral.
ACGAACGCUGGCGGCGUGCUUAACACAUGCCAGUCGAACGGAAAGGCCCUGCUUUUGUGGGGUGCUCGAGUGGCGAACGGGUGAGUAACACGUGAGUAACCUGCCCUUGACUUUGGGAUAACUUCAGGAAACUGGGGCUAAUACCGGAUAGGAGCUCCUGCUGCAUGGUGGGGGUUGGAAAGUUUCGGCGGUUGGGGAUGGACUCGCGGCUUAUCAACUUGUUGGUGGGGUAGUGGCUUACCAAGGCUUUGACGGGUAGCCGGCCUGAGAGGGUGACCGGCCACAUUGGGACUGAGAUACGGCCCAGACUCCUACGGGAGGCAGCAGUGGGGAAUAUUGCACAAUGGGCGGAAGCCUGAUGCAGCAACGCCGCGUGCGGGAUGACGGCCUUCGGGUUGUAAACCGCUUUCGCCUGUGACGAAGCGUGAGUGACGGUAAUGGGUAAAGAAGCACCGGCUAACUACGUG